GAUGAACGCUAGCUACAGGCUUAACACAUGCAAGUCGAGGGGCAGCGGGGAGUAGCAAUACUUCGCCGGCGACCGGCGCACGGGUGAGUAACACGUGUGCAACCACCCGAUUACCGGGAGAUAGCCCUUCGAAAGGUGGACUAAUAUCCCAUAAGACUCUGGAGCCGCAUGGCUCUGGUAUUAAAGAAUUUCGGUUAUCGACGGGCACGCGCGACAUUAGGUAGUUGGCGGGGUAACGGCCCACCAAGCCGACGAUGUCUAGGGGUUCUGAGAGGAAGGUCCCCCACACUGGAACUGAGACACGGUCCAGACUCCUACGGGAGGCAGCAGUGAGGAAUAUUGGUCAAUGGGCGCGAGCCUGAACCAGCCAAGUCGCGUGAGGGAAGAAUGGUCUAUGGCCUGUAAACCUCUUUUGUCAAGGAAGAAUAAAUUGCACGUGUGCGAUCUUGCCAGUACUUGACGAAUAAGCAUCGGCUAACUCCGUGCCAGCAGCCGCGGUAAUACGGGGGAUGCGAGCGUUAUCCGGAUUUAUUGGGUUUAAAGGGCGCGUAGGCGGGACAGUUAAGUCAGUUGUGAAAGUUUGCGGCUCAACCGUAAAAUUGCAGUUGAUACUGGCUGUCUUGAGUACAGUAGAGGUGGGCGGAAUUCGUGGUGUAGCGGUGAAAUGCUUAGAUAUCACGAAGAACUCCGAUUGCGAAGGCAGCUCACUGGACUGCAACUGACACUGAUGCUCGAAAGUGUGGGUAUCAAACAGGAUUAGAUACCCUGGUAGUCCACACAGUAAACGAUGAAUACUCGCUGUUUGCGAUAUACAGUAAGCGGCCAAGCGAAAGCAUUAAGUAUUCCACCUGGGGAGUACGCCGGCAACGGUGAAACUCAAAGGAAUUGACGGGGGCCCGCACAAGCGGAGGAACAUGUGGUUUAAUUCGAUGAUACGCGAGGAACCUUACCCGGGCUUAAAUUGCAUUUGAAUAUAUUGGAAACAGUAUAGCCGUAAGGCAAAUGUGAAGGUGCUGCAUGGUUGUCGUCAGCUCGUGCCGUGAGGUGUCGGCUUAAGUGCCAUAACGAGCGCAACCCUUAUCUUUAGUUACUAACAGGUCAUGCUGAGGACUCUAGAGAGACUGCCGUCGUAAGAUGUGAGGAAGGUGGGGAUGACGUCAAAUCAGCACGGCCCUUACGUCCGGGGCUACACACGUGUUACAAUGGGGGGUACAGAGGGCAGCUACCUGGUGACAGGAUGCUAAUCCCAAAAGCCUCUCUCAGUUCGGAUCGAAGUCUGCAACCCGACUUCGUGAAGCUGGAUUCGCUAGUAAUCGCGCAUCAGCAUGGCGCGGUGAAUACGUUCCCGGGCCU
RNAcentral lists this ribosomal RNA (1353 nucleotides) under uncultured bacterium. RNAcentral describes it as "bacterial SSU rRNA". It matches the Rfam family "Bacterial small subunit ribosomal RNA", at positions 28 to 1381 of the family's 1533-position model. The record is from RNAcentral.